GAUCCUGGCUCAGGAUGAACGCUAGCUACAGGCUUAACACAUGCAAGUAGAGGGGCAGCAUGAGGUAGCAAUACCUUGAUGGCGACCGGCGCACGGGUGAGUAACGCGUAUGCAACCUGCCCGAUACCGGGGUAUAGCCCAUGGAAACGUGGAUUAACACCCCAUAGUACUUUUAUCCUGCAUGGGAUGUGAGUUAAAUGUUCAAGGUAUCGGAUGGGCAUGCGUCCUAUUAGUUAG
Molecule: ribosomal RNA, 237 nt
Filed under: uncultured bacterium
Lineage: Bacteria
Description: partial 16S ribosomal RNA
Rfam family: Bacterial small subunit ribosomal RNA
Source: RNAcentral